Long non-coding RNA from Cygnus olor (mute swan), 4179 nucleotides. RefSeq lists it as uncharacterized. The transcript is spliced from 3 exons. The record is from RefSeq and is a predicted model, not a curated record. Lineage: Eukaryota; Metazoa; Chordata; Aves; Anseriformes; Anatidae.
GGCAGCUGGGAAAGCAACCGGGAUGGAGAGGUGAGGCUGGCACCUCUGCCCCGGCCCUCGCCCCGUCCCUGCCUCCCUCCCUGGGGUGCCGCGCUCCCAGCGCUGCUCUGCCUCCCGUGGCUGCCCCCCCCAUGCAUUUUCCCGAUCAAAAGAGAUUUAGAUUAGAUAUGAGGAAGGAAUUUUGUCCCACAAGGGCGCUGAGGCACUGGCACAGGCUGCCCAGAGGAGCUGUGGGUGCCCCAUCCCUGGAGGCAUUCGGGGCCAGGCUGGAUGGGGCUUUGGGCAGCCUGGGCUGGGGGGAGGUGUCCCUGCCCAUGGCAGGGGGCUGGAACUGGAUGAUCUUUAAGGUCCCUUCCAACCCAACCAAUGCUGUGAUUCUCUGGCCUUAUGCACAGCAUCUCCUGCUGCCUGCUGGGGUUGCUGGGGUGCAAGGGGAACUGCAGCAGGAGGAAAAGCCUGUUCUCCUCUGGGACCUCCUGGAGUGAAAGAGCAGCUUUGUGGCAGCUGGGAGAUGCGUUGGCCCAGCCUUCUCACACCCCUACAACGCUUUUACUUUAUGACAUCGGUCCAUUCUCAGUAAUCUAAUUUUAGGAUGUAUUUUAUUUUUCCAAGAAGCCCCAUCAGGCACAGGGUCUCUGGCCUUACUCUGCUUUUGGCAUGUGCCCUCAGUGCCCCAAUCAGCCUCAAUUGCCCUGAGCAGCCUCACCUGGGACCCCACCCACUCUACCCAGGCUGGGAGCUCUAUUUAAAUGCAGGCCCAGAGGCUUGGGCCUGGUUUGAGUGUGUGGGUGCCCAAGGCUGCAUCUGGCCCUGUCAGACUGGAGUUGUUCAUUGGACUUCCCUCGUGGUCUGAUUUGUCACCUUGCCUUGGCCGGAUGCUCUCUGUUGAUGGGACCUGUCACCACCUUGUCCCCGCUGAUGCGGUCUCACCACCUGCCUGCAUGAUGGUCGCCUGCUGCUUAUGGCUGGCCUCCCCUUGUGGAGCAGCUCUGCUCUCGCUGCCCUUGGCAAUACAACUCUCAGCUCAUCUUGCCUCACUCUUUUCCAGCUCUACUUCUCCAACAGCCAUGCUGGUGUUUGCCUGGAUGCAGCUGAUUUCCUCAAGUGCCAGAGAAAUCAGAAUGGUCCCGAUGCUGGUGAGGUUUCUGCCGUGUCUCGGAGGUCCCUCAGGCUGUAAGGCAGAGCCCGCUGGAGGCUGUGAGCGUCUCCUGCGGCUUCUUGAGCAGAGGCUGUGAUCUUUGCUUAUUCACUGUUGAGGGAAAUGCUGUCUGUAACCCUGUGCUGCUUCAUGGUGGUGUGAGCCGCUUGUGCAGGAGAGUACUGUAGGAGAGCAGCUUCCACUCGUGGCAGGACUGGCUCAAGAGGCUCAACGGGCACGGUCUCUUCUGGAAAGUGCUCCCUGACUCUGCCUGCCACGGGCUGGCUCUAGGAAAUUCAGCUGGGCAAGGCUCCUGUGUGCUGCCCCAGUGCCACCGCCCAGGAUCUGAGUGCCUCCUGGCCUUGUGCCUGCCUCCUCGAAGAGCAGCACCUGCAGCUCUGAGAGCCGCUGAGCUCCGUGCACGAGGCAGAAGCAGCGGCUCGGAGCUCUGCUGGAAGGGGCAGCGAACGCCCGGCCCCGCGGGAACGUUGGAGGCACAGCGACCCUGCCGCCUGCUCGCCCCCCGCUCCCGCUGCCCCCCCCCCCGGCCGUGCAGCCGGCGGCAGCAGCAGCAGCUUCCAACCCUCCCGCCGUGCCCACCCGGGUGCCCCCCCGAGGGGGCAGCGCCAGCCCGCAGCGCCCCGCACCUCACCGGCUGUCCCCGGAGCCUCCCCAGCGGAGGAUGCGCGGCCCCGGCCCGGGGGAAGCCAGAGGCCAUGUGCUGCUUUCUAGGGCAGAGCCUCCCCUCGGUGUCCGGCGAGAAGCUACCAUGGCCUUCUGCUGUCGCAGGGGCAGAAGUCUCCGGCCCUUGAAUCUCUCAUCCAGGCAGAGAACCGCUUUCCUGCAGCCUCCAGCCCGUCUUGCUCUGCUGCGAAGAUUGGCUCUUCAGGAGUAGUCCCAGCAGAAACAGAUGCAUGCACAGCAGAUUAUUUGUAGCAAAGCUCUACAUACAGAACAGAUUUAGAAUCACAGAAGUUGCCUUGGCAGGAUGAGAACUCCCUCCCCAGGAGUGUGGGUUUGUUCUCCCUUCUGCUCCCGAUGGCAGCACUGCAGCUCCCGGCGUGGAGCGGGCAUUCUUGGGCUGGAUCAAGAGGAAAUGCGCCCACCUGCCCCAGUGAUUUCAGAGCUAAGGGCAGCAAGGUACAGCCACAACAGGGGAAAGAGGUUCUGGGACCUCAGAUGUGAUGGGAGUGGGUGCCUGUGCGAGGGCAGGGCGAUGUGAAGACCACGCAGGACAGCACAAGGCUGUCCCCUGGGGCAGGGUGCCCCUGCGGAGGGGCCUGGGCUGGAGGUGGCCUCAUCCAGCUCCUGGCGCGUGGUGUGCCCUGGGCUGGUCGCAUCCUGCAGUGGUUCCAUUGAGAGGUUUGGUGGGGCUGCUUCAAAGUGAGGGGGCUGCUGCGUUUCCAGCAUGUAGCAUCAGCUGCUGCAUGGAGAGCUGGCCGCGCUGUACAGGGGGCUGCCGAGACAUGGUGAGUCACGUGUGAUAUCCACCAGGCUCUAAUUAUUCCUCCCGGUAGCACUCCUCUCUGUUGGGGACAGCGUCAGCAGCAAGAGCCGAGGAGCCAGCACCCCCUGCCUGCACGGGACCCUUGCCCAGCCCUGCCCCGGUGCGUGGUGAUGCUGGCUCCAUCUGCCCGUUGGUUUCCAGCCCUGAGGAGCUGCUGGAGGGCUGCCCACGGGGCGUUUUGGGUUGGGGCUGGGUGUGGGUAGCACUGGCGGGGCUGUCUGCAUGGGCUGGACAACUCAGAUCACACCGGGGACACCCCGUGGAUGGGGCUGGAGUGUCCGUUGUAGCCCACUCCAUUUCCACACCAAACAUUUGCCUCCUGCUUCCUGUUUUGUUGAAUAAUUCAUAAUGAGUGAUUAAUGGAGAUGUGCCACCCCUUCCAUAUUCACACAUUAUCACAGGUUGCAUUUUUUCAGCACUAUUAGUUAUUCAUAACGAUUUGCUGAGUAAUGCCCGAGCUCCUCAGGCUGCAGUGCUCUCCCUGGUGAUGGGGCGAGGGGCGCAGCAGGCUCCCGGCUGCACCCACCCGGCUCGGGGCCAGCUUCUGCUCCUCGGCCAGGUAAGCAGCACUGCGUGUCUAGUGCCAGUUCACCAGGCUGGGAGUGUGAGGCCCAGUUGCUUGAACAUACAGACAGAUGUGCCUGCAGCAGAAGAUUUGGGUUAAAUGGGUGAUUGGUUAUGAAGCAGAUUUGGGCUGAAUACUCCUGCUCCUUCCUUGGUUUAUCAUGAAUGUGAGGGGGUUUGGCUGAACCAAGGGGUGCGUAGAGAUGCCUGGCAAGUGCUCUGUCAUCUCAGCUUUAACCCUCCCUGUCCUUCUGGAUUGAGCAUUUUGAAGUCACCUCUGCUGCAGGAACAUCGGUGUGGCUCGCUCUUGGUUCUCUGCUAGCACAGACGCAGGCGGUGCUGUCCGAGAGCCCCCAGGGGGCUGGACAGGGGAGUGAGGGCAGCGCUGGGGCAGAGCUGUGCCUGUGCUGCCAGGGCCAGCUCAUCCUGCAGCUUCAUGCUGCUGGCAGCGAGCAUGGGGCUGUCCAGGAACUGCUGCCAGUGGCCAUCUGGGGGGUGGGCUGGGUCCUCCCGGAGAGGGGAUUGAGGCCGGAUCCUGGCUUCAGCCUCCUCCAUCCGGCAUCCUGGGGGUGCCAUGGCAAUGGGGCCAGCAGCGAUGGUUGCAGGGGGAGAAGCUGAAACUCUGGUGCAGGGGCUGGAUGUGGCCCCGGGCCAGGCUGCGUGGAGUAGGGGGCUUGGCUGGAAGUGCUGGGGGGAGGUGUGGGGCCUGGGCUGGGGGUGGCAGAGGAGAGGGCCGAGCCCAGCAGGAUCCUGUCCCCAGGCACUCCAGCAGUGCCCGGAGUGCUGCCUAUGAAGAUGCUCUGGCGAGGGGCUGGGCUGGCCCCUGCUGCUGUGAUGGGCACCUGCACCCUGUGCAGUCACUGGGAGCACGGCAGGGGACGCGCUGUGCUGCAGAAGAGGACAGCAGAGCUGCUGAGUGCUCACUGGGCCGCUCCAGUGACCUCGCUGCAGACAAGCAGCUCUGGUCAGU